GGGUUGUGAGGUUAAGCGACUAAGCGUACACGGUGGAUGCCCUGGCAGUCAGAGGCGAUGAAGGACGUGCUAAUCUGCGAUAAGCGUCGGUAAGGUGAUAUGAACCGUUAUAACCGGCGAUUUCCGAAUGGGGAAACCCAGUGUGAUUCGUCACACUAUCAUUAACUGAAUCCAUAGGUUAAUGAGGCGAACCGGGGGAACUGAAACAUCUAAGUACCCCGAGGAAAAGAAAUCAACCGAGAUUCCCCCAGUAGCGGCGAGCGAACGGGGAGCAGCCCAGAGCCUGAAUCAGUGUGUGUGUUAGUGGAAGCGUCUGGAAAGGCGCGCGAUACAGGGUGACAGCCCCGUACACAAAAAUGCACAUACUGUGAGCUCGAUGAGUAGGGCGGGACACGUGGUAUCCUGUCUGAAUAUGGGGGGACCAUCCUCCAAGGCUAAAUACUCCUGACUGACCGAUAGUGAACCAGUACCGUGAGGGAAAGGCGAAAAGAACCCCGGCGAGGGGAGUGAAAAAGAACCUGAAACCGUGUACGUACAAGCAGUGGGAGCACGCUUAGGCGUGUGACUGCGUACCUUUUGUAUAAUGGGUCAGCGACUUAUAUUCUGUAGCAAGGUUAACCGAAUAGGGGAGCCGAAGGGAAACCGAGUCUUAACUGGGCGUUAAGUUGCAGGGUAUAGACCCGAAACCCGGUGAUCUAGCCAUGGGCAGGUUGAAGGUUGGGUAACACUAACUGGAGGACCGAACCGACUAAUGUUGAAAAAUUAGCGGAUGACUUGUGGCUGGGGGUGAAAGGCCAAUCAAACCGGGAGAUAGCUGGUUCUCCCCGAAAGCUAUUUAGGUAGCGCCUCGUGAAUUCAUCUCCGGGGGUAGAGCACUGUUUCGGCAAGGGGGUCAUCCCGACUUACCAACCCGAUGCAAACUGCGAAUACCGGAGAAUGUUAUCACGGGAGACACACGGCGGGUGCUAACGUCCGUCGUGAAGAGGGAAACAACCCAGACCGCCAGCUAAGGUCCCAAAGUCAUGGUUAAGUGGGAAACGAUGUGGGAAGGCCCAGACAGCCAGGAUGUUGGCUUAGAAGCAGCCAUCAUUUAAAGAAAGCGUAAUAGCUCACUGGUCGAGUCGGCCUGCGCGGAAGAUGUAACGGGGCUAAACCAUGCACCGAAGCUGCGGCAGCGACACUGUGUGUUGUUGGGUAGGGGAGCGUUCUGUAAGCCUGCGAAGGUGUGCUGUGAGGCAUGCUGGAGGUAUCAGAAGUGCGAAUGCUGACAUAAGUAACGAUAAAGCGGGUGAAAAGCCCGCUCGCCGGAAGACCAAGGGUUCCUGUCCAACGUUAAUCGGGGCAGGGUGAGUCGACCCCUAAGGCGAGGCCGAAAGGCGUAGUCGAUGGGAAACAGGUUAAUAUUCCUGUACUUGGUGUUACUGCGAAGGGGGGACGGAGAAGGCUAUGUUGGCCGGGCGACGGUUGUCCCGGUUUAAGCGUGUAGGCUGGUUUUCCAGGCAAAUCCGGAAAAUCAAGGCUGAGGCGUGAUGACGAGGCACUACGGUGCUGAAGCAACAAAUGCCCUGCUUCCAGGAAAAGCCUCUAAGCAUCAGGUAACAUCAAAUCGUACCCCAAACCGACACAGGUGGUCAGGUAGAGAAUACCAAGGCGCUUGAGAGAACUCGGGUGAAGGAACUAGGCAAAAUGGUGCCGUAACUUCGGGAGAAGGCACGCUGAUAUGUAGGUGAAGUCCCUCGCGGAUGGAGCUGAAAUCAGUCGAAGAUACCAGCUGGCUGCAACUGUUUAUUAAAAACACAGCACUGUGCAAACACGAAAGUGGACGUAUACGGUGUGACGCCUGCCCGGUGCCGGAAGGUUAAUUGAUGGGGUCAGCGCAAGCGAAGCUCUUGAUCGAAGCCCCGGUAAACGGCGGCCGUAACUAUAACGGUCCUAAGGUAGCGAAAUUCCUUGUCGGGUAAGUUCCGACCUGCACGAAUGGCGUAAUGAUGGCCAGGCUGUCUCCACCCGAGACUCAGUGAAAUUGAACUCGCUGUGAAGAUGCAGUGUACCCGCGGCAAGACGGAAAGACCCCGUGAACCUUUACUAUAGCUUGACACUGAACAUUGAGCCUUGAUGUGUAGGAUAGGUGGGAGGCUUUGAAGUGUGGACGCCAGUCUGCAUGGAGCCG
Molecule: ribosomal RNA, 2170 nt
Filed under: Escherichia coli
Lineage: Bacteria; Pseudomonadati; Pseudomonadota; Gammaproteobacteria; Enterobacterales; Enterobacteriaceae
Description: partial 23S ribosomal RNA
Rfam family: Bacterial large subunit ribosomal RNA
Source: RNAcentral